Non-coding RNA from Paramuricea clavata, 612 nucleotides. Lineage: Eukaryota; Metazoa; Cnidaria; Anthozoa; Malacalcyonacea; Plexauridae. The record is from the annotation of a GenBank genome assembly.
CGCUCCCAUUGUUUUUCCACUGAUCUCUAUUCCCAACUGAAGGGACGAGGCAGGUUAUAUCGACCAGUUUCAACAGGUAAUCUAUGUGCUCAGAUCCUUAGUUUUGUAACAGCUUGACGAUAUAUAUGUCAUAUAUGCUUGACGAUAUAUAUGUAAUAUGAUAUAUACAGUACAUGUGUCAGUAUGCAUGGAGCGAGUUGGUAUAGCCAAGGUUAUACUGUAUUUGCCCGUUUAAUUAAGCGGAGCCCCCGAUUAAGCGUCGCAUAGACUUUUUAACCCCGAUUAAGCGUUGAUUAGACUUUGCGUCAUCGUCGGGAUAUAGUUCUAAAAGGGUUUCUGCAAACUGACUGCUGCUUAUGGCUAGGGGUAAAACGCGGAAACGGACUGGCGGAACCGGAAUGGCGGAACCGGAAAAGCGAAAGGGUAAAACGCGGAAAAAAGGGUAAAACGCGGAAAAAAAGAGUAAAACGCGGAAAAAAGGGUAAAACGCGGAAAAAAGAGUAAAACGCGGAAAAAAGGGUAAAACGCGGAAAAAAGAGUAAAACGCGGAAAAAAAAGGUAAAACGCGGAAAAAAGGGUAAAACGCGGAAAAAAGGUAAAACGCGGAAAAAA